RNAcentral lists this ribosomal RNA (454 nucleotides) under uncultured bacterium. Its description in RNAcentral is "bacterial SSU rRNA". It matches the Rfam family "Bacterial small subunit ribosomal RNA", at positions 340 to 785 of the family's 1533-position model. The record is from RNAcentral.
UACGGAAGGCAGCAGUGGGGAAUAUUGCACAAUGGGCGCAAGCCUGAUGCAGCCAUGCCGCGUGUAUGAAGAAGGCCUUCGGGUUGUAAAGUACUUUCAGUCGUGAGGAAGGUGUUAAGGUUAAUAACCUUAGCAAUUGACGUUAGCGACAGAAGAAGCACCGGCUAACUCCGUGCCAGCAGCCGCGGUAAUACGGAGGGUGCGAGCGUUAAUCGGAAUUACUGGGCGUAAAGGGCACGCAGGCGGUUAAUUAAGUUGGAUGUGAAAUCCCCGGGCUUAACCUGGGAAUGGCAUUCAAGACUGGUUAGCUAGAGUCUUGUAGAGGGGGUAGAAUUCCAUGUGUAGCGGUGAAAUGCGUAGAGAUGUGGAGGAAUACCGGUGGCGAAGGCGGCCCCUGGACAAAGACUGACGCUCAUGUGCGAAAGCGUGGGGAGCGAAACAGGGAUUUAGAUAC